This 73-nucleotide transfer RNA is filed under the name Dreissena polymorpha. RNAcentral describes it as "transfer RNA valine (anticodon UAC)". It matches the Rfam family "tRNA". Rfam says of the family: Transfer RNA (tRNA) molecules are approximately 80 nucleotides in length. Their secondary structure includes four short double-helical elements and three loops (D, anti-codon, and T loops). The record is from Rfam by way of RNAcentral. Lineage: Eukaryota; Metazoa; Mollusca; Bivalvia; Myida; Dreissenidae.
GGUUCCGUAGUGUAGUGGUUAUCACGUCUGCUUUACACGCAGAAGGUCCUGGGUUCGAGCCCCGGCGGAACCA